This is a non-coding RNA of Pelobates cultripes (western spadefoot toad), 2750 nucleotides long. Lineage: Eukaryota; Metazoa; Chordata; Amphibia; Anura; Pelobatidae. The record is from the annotation of a GenBank genome assembly.
UGGAGAUCAAUAAGACCCCCAUAUUACUAUAAGGGAGGUUUAAAACAUGUGGCAAGUUGUGCAUGUUUACUAAAUGGUUACUAAAUGGUUAAAAUUAGCAACUGCAAAACCAUUGCCCAGUCUUUAGAAGAAAUAACAAAGGGGGACAAAGUCAAAUGAAAAUGUACCCUCCCAUGGCCAGCAGGUGGGGGACUUAUCUAUUGCAUUAAAGGUGAGGACCUAGAAUUGAAAAGUGGGGACCGUAAUUAUAAUAUUCAGGAGAGACAUAGUGUCCCACCCAGCCCCCACCCCCACCCCCACCCAUGGGAGGUGGCUGUAAUGAACUUUAAUAAUGGGGGAUUGGACAUAUUAUUAUUUACCUCUUCCUAUUAGUGGCAUAUCCACAAUCCCUCCCCCACAAGGUACCCAAUCCUGUAGUCACCCCCCAUUAAAAAUAGUGGACCCUAGUGUCGCCACCCCGAUCCUAAUAAUAGGGUGUGGGGACCAUAUACUAAUACCUGUUAUACUCAUACCUGUUUCUUCUUAUUUAUCUUUUCUUUAACCUAAAAAACACCAAAUGAAAAUCCAUGAAUCCUGAUGCAAUUAAUGAAAAAAAAAAUCACUAUUUGCAAAAAUUUCUUCGUGCCCAUGGGGCCAUUUCUUAAGCCUAGUUUUAAACUUCCCUUAUAGUAUUAUAGUUGCUAGUUUUUCAAAAUUCUUUUUUUUAAUUUUUGUUAUGAAUUAAAGGUCAGUGCAUAUGUUUAUAAGAAACAGAGAGAGAAGCCAGAAGGUUUGUAACAGUACAGUAUUGGACAGGCUCUGCAUGCGGGCACGCUCAUGAACUGGCUUAGGACUGUGAGAGGAUCAUAACUUCACCAAGAUAGUGUUAGGGGGUUCGUGUGUUGUGUGCCCCGUGUCUGGCUCGUAUUUAUGGUAGGCUCAUUUCCUCAGACAAGUUGGCAGGAAUGUUUUGCGAUCUGUGGGUGGGUUUCCCCCUUUGAGGGUUCCUUAUUUUUUCAGUCAUGAGUAUGUGGUCCCUAGUUGUCAGUGUCCGUCUAAGGUCACGUUGGUUCAUGAGUCUAGACCGCAGUUGAGUCGCUCUUGGGUUGGGGGAUUUGGUUGUCAAUGCCUUGUCCUCUCUGGGGACAUGUCCGAUCGUGCUGUGGUGGUGGUUCUUAGUUUGGCCUUAGAUCUUUAGUCCUUAUAUUCUAUGUGUCUUGCCCGAAAGCCUGAUAGAAAGGUGUAGUGGUGGUAAGAAUAUGCAUUGUGGAGGUGAAUGGGUCUUUACAGGUUAUGAGAGUAGAAGUAUGAGUAUUGUUAGAAGGAAGGGUAGAGGAGUAGUUGAGUGAGGGGCGAGGAUAGGGGAUUUGCAUUGUGUUGCGGGUUGGAGUGGGUGGUAUUUGGUGUCUAGCGUAGGGGAGAUUAUAGUUGCUAGUUUUAAAUCUGUGAAUUGGAGUUAUGAAAGGACUAGAUAACUCUAACACCACAAAUUUGAGGGGCAACCUCUGGGGAAAUCUACUUAAGAACACAAUAGGUGUAGAUAAAAUGAAACUUAACUUUUGAUAGUAAAAAUGAUCUUGAAAAUUUUAGAUUGUAAGUCAUCAAUCAUAAUAUUAAAUCUAUCUUCAACUUUCUUCAAAUCUAUCCUCUAUCUCCUAAACUUAAAUCCCUUUAUUUCCAGGAUGCAGAUCACAUAAAAAAAAAAUGAAAAAAAGUCCUUUAGAACUAGGAAGAAAUACAUAUUUAUGAAAUGGGACAGAUCAGUGCCUGUAUAGAGGAAAGCAACAAAUAAUAGAUAAGAUAUAGGAACCCUAAGAAAGGGUAUAGACUCCCUUCAAGGUACAAGAUUAAAAAAAAAAAAGCAAAGUUGCCUUAAUUUAAAGAGAUCAUUAUUCAAGUAAAUCUGGCUUAUAAAUUAUAUUGUCUGAGAUUGAGACCCUCAAAGCAUUUAGGGUUUUAGAUACAAUCAGAUUAAUUGGAUUAAUUCACUAGCCAAUGAUAAACCAAUGCCUUCUAAUUAGUCAAUACAAUCUAGGAGCGAAGGAGGAACUUUGCAAUAUGUUAAUCCCAAUGAUUCUAUCUCACUCCUUGCCUCUAAAAUAGCCGGCAUGGUUGAAGGACAAUGGACGAGUUAUAAAAUACAUUAAGCCACCUGGGAGGGCUUUAGAAACACUAGAGAGUGCGAUCACAUGAUCAGAAAGCUACUUAUUGGUGAGUAUGGCUUUAUAACCAAGGGCGGCUGAUUGGGGGCUGUGUGUUAUGAAAUAAACACAUCAAAAGGGCAAAACAAUGUGUAUAGAAUGAAUAUUUGAAAAGUCUCUCAUCAAAUAGAUAUUAGUUGCGCUGUGUUAUUAAAAACAAUGAACUCUAUAAACUUCAAUCUGAAGACUAUUAAAGAUUCUACAGCUUAUAUAGGUUUGUUCGAUAAAUCUUUCUUAUUCAUCUCUAUAGCCCCUUUUGGCAGAGGGAAACACCUCCCUUAGACUUAUCCCAUUUGUUACUAGAUUUAACCACUUCUUGUCAGUCAUAAGCUAUUUCAUUAAUAGCUAACUCCCAUGGGUUUUUAUUCCCUCACUUGCUCGCUAUGAUUUUCUACGUAUAUAAAUGUUAUCAAUGGAUAAUGCUAGAAAUAUGUUAUCAAUGAACCUCUUCCUGUGCUGCAAAUAAGGGCUAUUGUUGUAUUUGUUAAUGCUCUAGUAAUGUGGGCAUGCUUAAUCAAAUUAAAUUACUUUAAUGGAAAUUGUAUUACAAAUAAAAGAUUAUUAAUAUUA